UUUGCAUGGCCCCUUGUGGUGUUCUUUGUCCUCGAAGCUUUAAGCUGCAGUAUAGUGAGUCGGUGUUGUCGGCAGUACGACCUUCAGGUUUGCUGGCUUUUUCUAGGCAUACCUGAGGGAAGGUUGUCUUCUUUGCAAUGUCAUGUGAAGCUCUGUAGUCACUGAAACAGAGCAGUAAAUUGUUUGUGUACAUGUGCAAAGUUGGGAGUGUGUCAGACACAAACAGAAGUAGCAUUCACUGUCAUGUGAAGCUUUCUAAGCACUGAAGCUUUGUAGUCACUGAAACAGAUUAGUUAAUUGGUUUGUAUGUGUAUGUGUGCAUAGUUG
Molecule: long non-coding RNA, 327 nt
Filed under: Musa acuminata (dwarf banana)
Lineage: Eukaryota; Viridiplantae; Streptophyta; Magnoliopsida; Zingiberales; Musaceae
Description: long non-coding RNA (MACU_LNC001041)
Source: RNAcentral